Molecule: long non-coding RNA, 221 nt
Organism: Zingiber officinale
Lineage: Eukaryota; Viridiplantae; Streptophyta; Magnoliopsida; Zingiberales; Zingiberaceae
Exons: 3
Source: RefSeq, a predicted model, not a curated record
AUAACAUAUGCUUCAUCCCAUAUAACACUGGGUACCAUUGGAUCUUGACUAUAAUUAAUGAAGAUAAGAAUAUGAUAUAUUUAUUGGACUCUUUGAGUAAUAGGAACCGAGAUCAUGCUUGGCAAACUAUUGUGACCAAUGGGGUCAAGAUAUACAAUGCAUCCAGGGGUAUUUUAAAAGGACCAGGUUUUAAACAAUUGCCAGUAUGUAUUGUGACUAUG